GGAAGUAAAAGUCGUAACAAGGUUUCCGUAGGUGAACCUGCGGAAGGAUCAUUCGCAUGAAAUACCUUUAUAACGUGAACCAGUCGGCUGCUUUCGAUUUAUUUCGUGAGUUUAGCUGGCUAUAAACAUAUGUUGGGUUAAUUAUCAAGACUUACAUAAGCUUUAUUAAAUAUCAGCGAUGAAUGUCUUGGCUCCCACAACGAUGAAGGCCGCAGCAAAAUGUGACAAUCAUUGUGAAUUGCAGACUUCUUAGAAUCAAUAGAACGCUGGACGCACACGGCACUGUACUUGUACAGUAGGUCUGUUUCAGAGUCACUUUCGAUCUUCCCCAAACCUCCCGUAAAAAGGAGGCGACAAAGGAAGGCAAGGUACUGCUCGUCGAGUAAUUGAUUGGCAGUCGCAUUGUUCUAUAGCUACUCGUUUUGAACAUAUCCGAUUUACUUCGGUUGUUAGAGAUGGGUAAAAUAGCUGUAGCAUACAACUUAUAUGACCUGAAAUCAGACCAGGCUACCCGCUGAACUUAAGCAUAUCAAUAAGCGGAGGA
This 544-nucleotide ribosomal RNA is filed under the name uncultured fungus. Its description in RNAcentral is "eukaryotic LSU rRNA". The stretch from base 168 to 315 matches the Rfam family "5.8S ribosomal RNA". The record is from RNAcentral. Lineage: Eukaryota; Fungi.